This 6673-nucleotide long non-coding RNA is filed under the name Ananas comosus (pineapple). RNAcentral describes it as "long non-coding RNA (ACOM_LNC043910)". The record is from RNAcentral. Lineage: Eukaryota; Viridiplantae; Streptophyta; Magnoliopsida; Poales; Bromeliaceae.
AUACACUAUUCACUUCAGGCAGUACGAAAUCUGAUAUCUUUCGCCGGAGCCCUCUGAAUAUCCGUUUAAGCUCAAAUUUGACAGUCAUGUUCGGUUUUGCUUAACUUAACGAAAGAAAUUUUAAUCUUUCAGUUUCGACCCCGUUUGGUCACCGAAAGCUGUACCGAACUAUAAUCUUUAUCAGAUCACUAUCGGAUUUUAUUUUCCACCUUCCGGGUAUCAGAAUGAUAUGAAACUUUAAAUCUAGCCUCAUAAAAAUAAUUCUGGCUAAUCCUCCAGUUUUCAGAAUUUUCUGACACUAUGCAUUUUCUGCUAAUUUAUCUGCCCCGUCUCUUACAGAAAAUUCUAAAUCUUCUGUUUCGCUCCGAUUUCAGCAUAGGUCAUUUCCAACUUAUACUUUACACUCUUAAAUCCAAUAAAAAUAGUAUAUCACACUAUUUUUAUUUAUAUUUAUUUUUAUAUUAAAAAUCCAGCAUACUACAUCCACCGUAACUGCAUAAUUUUAGAAGUUCGGUACCUUACAACAGAAGUUCGGUACCUUACAUCCUCCCCUCCUUAAAAAGAGUUUCGUCCUCGAAACUAACCAAAUUUCAACCCCAAUCACAUCCCAACUCGAUUUAUUGAGCAAUCGGGGAUUCCAAUGCACUUUUCCUUCUUAGAGUGGGCUUUCAUUCAUUGAAAUCAUCAAAGGCCCACUACGGAGGAUGUGAGACCAAAUUCACUCACAUUUGCUAAGUGUAACUCCAAAAGUGCAUUACCACCGUGGGAAGAACCACUCUUGUAAUAACCUCACGCGAACUCCUGUUCGUGAAUCCAAGCCUAAACUCGUCGACAAGGCUACUCGCCUACCGUUUAUCUCAGUCUCAUAGACGAACCACAGUUCACCAAUUCUACGUAGGUCUACCGCCUAAACCCGUCUCAACACAUAGCGUCUCUCGCUCGCAAGCGCAGACCCCAUCAUAACCAGGCGAAAUUCUCACUUGGGAAUUCGCACAUACUCCAACCAGGAGCAAUCAAGACCCCAAACCACUCUAAAUCCUCGGGUUGGGUCACCAUUGCACUCUUAGUGUAUCCAUGAUCACACGAUCUAACACGUGGCAUUCCACGCUCUCGGGUCUAAGCUCGGACUACCGUCCUGACCAAAUCUCUGCCUUACCCCGGGCCGCUGCCACCCAAAGCUGACUGCGCCUGUUCAUAGGGACCCAGGUUCCACAGUCCACGAAUGGUCCAGGCACGGAUCAUCCUCAAGCUAUACCCGCAACCGUCGUCUCCCACGACAUGCUCACCCUAGCAACACAUAUCACUAUUGGCUCCUAAGCACCUAAUGCGAGCCAUCAGCCCCACGAGUGAUCCCAGGCGCGCUUCACACUUAGUAAUGCUACAGUACUACUGCCUACACACUCUCCCGGCUGAGUCAACACCGUACUUCACGAGUACCUAUACCUGAGCGCUCUACGCGCCGUACACUAAUUCCGACAUUAGGCAACCCUGCCUAUGUGCACCGGCCACACGAGCACGACUCACCCACCUCACUUCGAGGUACUACUAGGCCCACGUGCUCUUGCUCGGACACUAACCGAUCGCCCUACCAUGAGUCUCACUUCUCGUCCAACAAUCAUCACCAGCAUUUUGCUAGUGCUAUCUAGCUCUUUACCUGCUCCAACAGGCGCUACACCAUCACCACAUAUGCAUACCCGGGUAUCUACACCAACCCGUCCACUUGGUCCCUACUAUCCAAUGCAUAAUAGUAGCGAACAACCAUAAAUAAAUGCAUGCAAUUCCUUAAGUCUACAUCAUGCAGAAGCGUAUGAUUACUUUAAUUAAAUCAUACCUGGCAUGGCGUCACACUCCUCAACCCCAGCAGGUCGCUCCGCUUGAGCGGCAAACACUCGACCACUCGGAGCCGACCGGGUCGCCUCAAGCCGUUGCGGCGCCAUCGCACGUCCCGCCGAUACUGCAGCAGGCGGAACUCCACCCGACUGCCCCGGAGUCACUGGGGCGGAUGCAAUAGACGGUGCAGGCGACGAUCCUUCUGGGCACUGACGGCUAAUAUGCCCCGCCUGACCACACCUGAAGCAUCGUCCCGCCCUAUGCUCACAGUUUCCUGCGCGAUGCUCCCCACCGCAAAUUACACAUCAUAUAGGUCCCUAGCUCUCAAACUGCCUCCUCGGGUACUUCGGGAGCUUCUUGGAACUCGACUAUCCCCUCGAGCUACCGCCAGGCCGUUUCUUCGCCUUAUCCUUCUCGGACGCCUCUCGUUCUUCUCGCACGUGGGCAUCGCCAUGCUCCGCCCACAAUGCUCGAUCAAAAACCUCAGCAAAGGUAGUGAGCUUGAAUAUUUGCACAGCCUUAUAAAUCCCCGGCCGAAGUCCUCGCAAGAACCAGUCGGCCCGGUCCCGGUCAUCUCGAGCAACCUCCAGGACACAAUCUAUGAUGUGGGAGAACUCCUGCUCGUAGUCCGCUACCGAGCGAUCCCCCUGCCUCAACUUGCGAAACUUCUCCUGCAGUUUUCGCCUCACUGUGUCGGCAAAAUAGUUGGCGAACAUCGCCCUCUUAAACUCCUCCCAUAAUAUAGGUGGAAGGUCAGAAGGCCAAUCUCGCUUCACCCGUUUCCACCACACCUUCGCCGCUUUCCCAAGGCAAUGGGUGGCGAGAUACACCCUGUCUUUCUCCGAGGUAUAGAGAUCCUCAAAAAGUAUCUCCAUUGAGUCAAUCCAUGACUCCACCAUCGACGGCUCCACUUUCUCCCCUUCAAAGAUUGGUGGGUUGAACUUCUUGAAUCUGAUAAGAGCCGUCAACGAACGCUCUCGCUCCAUCUCCUCGGCCGCCGCAUCAGGUGUCGCCGAUCCCGACGCUACUGGAGGAACAAUUGCUGGCGGGGGACGUGUUGCUACCGGAACCGCCGCUAUACCCUCACCCUCAGCCACAUCAGGCGCGUGCACCAGGGGUGCGGGCGGGUCACGACCUCCAGUCGCCAUCGCAGCCACCGCUGCCAUUUGCCGCUCCAAGAGCUCCUGGAGCUGCUCAAAUCGGGUCUCCUGGCACUGCACCACAUUGGUCAAUGCGGUCACUUGCGCCCGUAACUCUUGCACCUCGCUAGGCCCAGCUGACUCUGGCGCCUCGGGAGGUCCAGCCUGCUCUGGCGCCUCCGAAGACGGUGCCGGAACAGAUCUGCGCGUGUAGCGUCUUGGGGACAUUAGUUCCUGCAACGCAACAACCGGGUUAAUUAACUUAACCUACCAACUCGCUCGCGAUCACAACUACGCGACUCAACGUCGCAAACUAGGCGGAAGCACGUAAGUGUACUCAUUCUAAACUCUCGGCGUCAUGUUGUCGGCCGCCCAACACUACCACUUCGAGCCAAGAACUCAUACCACUUGAAUCCAUCUCUAGCCACGACUAGAAACAUACAAUUACUUCGACCCAAUUAAUCAACUCCCGCCACCGUAUAGGUCCACGUUCCACUCACGCACCUAUAACCUUACGGUUUCCUAACCUAAGUUUCUCUAGGUCAAUCCUAGACUCUCUCUCUUUACUUGCUCUUAACUUGCUCUGAUACCAUACCUGUCACGCCACGCCCCGAGACCGCUACCAAUAUGGUCCGGUUCGGGCGCGCCGGACGGACGCCGAACGGACAGCAUCUCCCCUGUCCGCCCAAGGCUCAACACAGGAUCAUGUACAAAGAAUUUGCCCAGGGAUAAUUCAAUACAUACACGAUCCAACAAGGAGAGAAGCACAAAGAGUGCAAUACAACAAGAGCAAGUAACACAAGUAUACAUACAAGUGCAUAAAGAGAGAUACAUCUAGCUAUUACAUCACAUUCCACUUUUACAUCUUUGAUUACAUUUACAUUUUCAUCAUCACCCAAAAUGAAUACAUAAUCAUCUCACAUAUAUAUAAUGCUAGCUAUCCAAAAUACAUCAUGUCAUCUAUAACCAUGCACACGAGGGUGCUCUAGUACAAUAGGAAAGCUCUACUAGCUAGCUAGGGCGCUACGCCCUUACCGCGAUCACCUGCCGGUCCGCUCUCGUGUGUACUUACCCCAAAACCACACGGGGUAGAAACUAUAUAAAUAUAGUUCCCAGUGGGUCGGCAGACUCCGCGCGAUUUCCCACAUAGGUUGCUAAGUGGCCACAAAUAGAUAGUAGAGCAGAUAGAUAAAUAUUGAACUUGCAACAUAUGAUCUAUUUGUGCCAUCAAAUGCAAGCAAUGCAUGAAAUAUCAUCUAGCAAUAAGCCUAUAUUAUGCUAGAUAUGCUUCAACAAUGUAAAUGAUACGGUAUACAACAUGAGUUAUGCAAUCCACUAUCAUAUACUAUGUUUACCAUGGGAUGAAUUAGGAAACUCACUUAUGCUAGUUCAUGUUUCAUUAAACAACCCAUCAUCAUAGGCUACCCGCGCUGAAGAUCUUCAAAUCUCAUAUGUACUCACACUACAAGUCGUUAGAUAGGUGAAGAUGUGAAGAACUGACCCUGCUUCUUCUCCUGCACUGUAUAUCCUGCAAAUCUCAUAGUUGAGGAGUAUCCCCUGCUGCGUUCUCACCCGUCUUCACAUCUCAAAGAUCAUAGCAAUGAAUAGGCUGACCAGCUCUAAUUCUAGGGUAGAUGAUUACGCCCGCCUCAUUCACUCAUAAGCUAAUGAAUCUACCCGCUCAAUCACUUAUAGGAAGGGCUAGCCCCGCCAUUCGCCCCAAACUCAGUUCCCAGUCAGAUGGGUGAGGAGCUUACCUCCGUCGUAUCCCACCCGUGUGAACCACCGCUCUAGGUUGAGCUACCCCAGCUCGUGUGUACAACUCCAGAGUGGCAUGCUUGGUGGACGUCGGACCACCACAAGCUCAACAAACAGGACUAGGUGAGUAUGAGUCGCAAUCCUCGCCAACUGAAAUACCCUAGUGAACAUAGCGUUAACAAAACACAUCGAAAAUCCACGGUAUCCUUUAGCGAUCCAAUGUCAAGUGUCUUCUCAACCACACUAUCAAUCACACUAGAGGAAUUAAACUAUCCCUAUGUUUGAUGCCCAUAGUGUUCAUCAAUUUACAUAAAUUCUCAUGGCCAAUAUGCCACGAAUAGGGAAAACUCACCUAUUCCCUGAUGCCUCAAUGCCACAAGUGUUUUUUAUUACACUAAUUCCAAAUGACUACUCGAUAUGUUGUAUACAUUGUUAUACAUGCCACUCGUCAAGUCAUAGUGUGUUUCUGUACACUAUUUUGCAUGUCAUAGUUUUCAUUAUCAAGUCGAAGUUCACUAUUUUCCUUAUCACUAUGGAUCUCAUGUCACAAAACUCUAAAUCCUCAUGCAUUCUAGAAUGUAAGUAUUCAAGCCAUAAUGGCUAACACAACUGACAUUGCAAUGCAAGGAAAUAGAAAUACAACCUAUACUACAUGCUAUACAUGUCAUAAGGAACAAUAUGUACAUAUGACCAAAAAUGCCUAAAUCGAGAAUAGAAGAGCCCAGUUGUUUUGGAUGACACCCCGCCCCACGCCCCCCCCACCUUUUAUCGCUAGCACGAGGCUCUAGGGUCCGAUUGUUUCGGAUUUUUGGAAGCUCGCCGCGAGCGCUCGGCAAUCUGUACCUUUAACGGGCUUCGUUCUUUAAUUCUUCACGUAAGCCUCGUCGUAUCGCCGAACCGAUUCGCCGACGCAGUGCAGAAAACCUAGCAAUUAGUUAUACAUGAUCAAUUAUAGAUCAAACCCUCACAUAUUGCAAAAUCCCAUUUUUGAGCCCGUAACAUUGCAAUUAUCUCAAAUAAUUCCAAAUUAAAGGCAACAUGCUUAAGAUGCUUAUUAGAGGUAUAGAACAUCUUUAGUUACAGGAUUUAAGCCACCCAAGUUACCAAAAUCGGAACGCGAGAUGAAGCACGCCGUACACGGCGCGCAUCGAUAUGCUCGCAUCCGUCGCUGCCAACGCGUUCGCAAAGCCGUUCUCCUCGCCAACGCGUGUGAAUUUGGGCGAAAGAUCGGAGAGAGAUGAUGAGAGUUAUUUUAGAGAGAGCGAAUGAGAAUUUCUCUCACUACCACCAUGAACGUGUGGUGUUGUCGGGGUGGUGGCGGCUGUGAAGAAGAAGAAGACUAGAAGCUUCUACUUAUAGUCAACACUCCAAUAGUAGCAUACACUAUUCACUUCAGGCAGUACGAAAUCUGAUAUCUUUCGCCGGAGCCCUCUGAAUAUCCGUUUAAGCUCAAAUUUGACAGUUAUGUUCGGUUUUUCUUAACUUAACGAAAAAAAUUUUAAUCUUUCAGUUUCGACCCCGUUUGGUCACCGAAAGCUGUACCGAACUGUAAUCUUUAUCAGAUCACUAUCGGAUUUUAUUUUCCACCUUCCGGGUAUCAGAAUGAUAUGAAACUUUAAAUCUAGCCUCAUAAAAAUAAUUCUGGCUUAUCCUCCAGUUUUUAGAAUUUUCUGACACUGUACAUUUUCUGCUAAUUUAUCUGCCCCGUCUCUCACAGAAAAUUCUAAAUCUUCUGUUUUCGCUCCGAUUUCAGCACAGGUCAUUUUCAACUUAUAAUUUACACCUUUAAAUCCAAUAAAAAUAGUAUCUCACACUAUUUUUAUUUAUAUUUAUUUUUAUAUUAAAAAUCCAGCAUACUACAUCCACCGUAACUACAUAAUUUUAGAAGUUCGGUACCUUACAACAGAAGUUCGGUACCUUACAAUUAUUACUCAAAUUGGAGUACC